UGGGGAUAUUGCACAAUGGGGGGAAACCCUGAUGCAGCGACGCCGCGUGGAGGAAGAAGGUUUUCGGAUUGUAAACUCCUGUCGUUAGGGACGAUAAUGACGGUACCUGACUAAGAAGCCCCGGCUAACUACGUGCCAGCAGCCGCGGUAAUACGUAGGGGGCAAGCGUUAUCCGGAUUUACUGGGUGUAAAGGGAGCGCAGGCGGUCCUGCAAGUCUGAUGUGAAAGCCCGGGGCUCAACCCCGGGACUGCAUUGGAAACUGUGGGACUUGAGUGUCGGAGGGGCAAGUGGAAUUCCUAGUGUAGCGGUGAAAUGCGUAGAUAUUAGGAGGAACACCAGUGGCGAAGGCGGCUUGCUGGACGACAACUGACGCUGAGGCUCGAAAGCGUGGGGAGCAAACAGGAUUAGAUACCCUGGUAGU
This 422-nucleotide ribosomal RNA is filed under the name uncultured Lachnospiraceae bacterium. RNAcentral's name for it is "bacterial SSU rRNA". It matches the Rfam family "Bacterial small subunit ribosomal RNA", at positions 356 to 794 of the family's 1533-position model. Lineage: Bacteria; Bacillati; Bacillota; Clostridia; Lachnospirales; Lachnospiraceae. The record is from RNAcentral.